GAAUUAGCUCAGUUGGUAGAGUGUCCUGAUAGAUUCGGGAAGGUCAUCGGUUCGAUUCCGAUAUUCUCCA
This 70-nucleotide transfer RNA is filed under the name Flavobacterium sp. CS20. RNAcentral describes it as "tRNA-Ser". It matches the Rfam family "tRNA". From Rfam's summary of the family: Transfer RNA (tRNA) molecules are approximately 80 nucleotides in length. Their secondary structure includes four short double-helical elements and three loops (D, anti-codon, and T loops). Lineage: Bacteria; Pseudomonadati; Bacteroidota; Flavobacteriia; Flavobacteriales; Flavobacteriaceae. The record is from RNAcentral.